RNAcentral lists this ribosomal RNA (253 nucleotides) under uncultured bacterium. Its description in RNAcentral is "partial 16S ribosomal RNA". It matches the Rfam family "Bacterial small subunit ribosomal RNA", at positions 524 to 776 of the family's 1533-position model. The record is from RNAcentral.
UACGAGGGGGGCGAGCGUUGUUCGGAAUUAUUGGGCGUAAAGGGCGCGUAGGCGGUCGGAUAAGUCUUGUGUGAAAUCUCCGGGCUCAACUCGGAGUCUGCACGAGAAACUAUCUGGCUUGAGUGUGGGAGAGGUGAGUGGAAUUCCUGGUGUAGCGGUGAAAUGCGUAGAUAUCAGGAGGAACACCUGUGGCGAAAGCGGCUCACUGGACCACAACUGACGCUGAGGAACGAAAGCUAGGGGAGCAAACAGG